Molecule: ribosomal RNA, 274 nt
Filed under: uncultured bacterium
Lineage: Bacteria
Description: partial 16S ribosomal RNA
Rfam family: Bacterial small subunit ribosomal RNA
Source: RNAcentral
AGACGGAGGGAGCAAGCGUUGCUCGGAAUUACUGGGCGUAAAGAGCGUGUAGGCGGCUAAUUAAGUCUGGUGUGAAAGCCCGGGGCUCACCCCCGGAAGUGCGCUGGAAACUGGUUAGCUAGAGUAUGGGAGAGGGAAGUGGAAUUCCUGGUGUAGCGGUGAAAUGCGUAGAUAUCAGGAGGAACACCGGCGGCGAAGGCGGCUUCCUGGACCAAUACUGACGCUGAGACGCGAAAGCGUGGGGAGCAAACAGGAUUAGAAACCCUGGUAGUCC